AGAAUCAACGCUGGCGGCGUGCCUCAGACAUGCAAGUCGAACGCGAAAGGGGGGCUUCGGCCUCUGAGUAGAGUGGCGCACGGGUGAGUAACACGUGAGUAAUUUACCUUCUCGGUGGGGAAUAACAAUCGGAAACGGUUGCUAAUACCGCAUAAUGCAGCGGCAGCUUAGGCUGACAGUUAGUUAAAGGCGGGGGAUCGGAGCAAUCCGACCUCGCGCCGGAAGAGGACGCUCGCGGCGGUAUUAGCUAGGUUGGGUAGGGUAACGGCCUACCGAAGGCAUCGAUCCGUAGCCGGCUGAGAGGGCGUCGGCACACUGAACUCAGAACAGUACGGGUACAGACCGUCUACGGGAGGCUAGCUAGGUCCGGGGUAAAUUUUU
RNAcentral lists this ribosomal RNA (381 nucleotides) under uncultured soil bacterium. RNAcentral describes it as "bacterial SSU rRNA". It matches the Rfam family "Bacterial small subunit ribosomal RNA", at positions 26 to 368 of the family's 1533-position model. The record is from RNAcentral.